UACGUAGGGAGCGAGCGUUAUCCUGAUUUACUGGGUGUAAAGGGCGCGCAGGCUGUAGAUCAAGUCAGCUGUGAAAUGUCUGGGCUUAACCCGGGCAUGCGGUUGAAACUGAUGUACUGGAGUGCUGUAGAGGCAAGUGGAAUUCCCAGUGUAGCGGUGAAAUGCGUAGAUAUUCGGAGGAACACCAGUGGCGAAGGCGGCUUGCUGGGCUCUAACUGACGCUGAGGCUCGAAAGUGUGGGGAGCAAACAGGA
This 253-nucleotide ribosomal RNA is filed under the name uncultured prokaryote. RNAcentral describes it as "partial 16S ribosomal RNA". It matches the Rfam family "Bacterial small subunit ribosomal RNA", at positions 524 to 777 of the family's 1533-position model. The record is from RNAcentral.